This 616-nucleotide long non-coding RNA is filed under the name Onthophagus taurus. Its description in RNAcentral is "uncharacterized LOC111423938". Lineage: Eukaryota; Metazoa; Arthropoda; Insecta; Coleoptera; Scarabaeidae. The record is from RNAcentral.
CAACAUAAAAACUUUUAACACAACACAUCUCCUAAAUAAUACUCAAUCGUAAUUCACAAAAAAAAUCGGAAAAAACUUAAUUUUUUAUUAUCCAAACAUUCCUAGAACAUUCCGAAAUGGUUCAAAAAAGAACAGAACCGUGUUUAUCGUGUAAAUUAAUAUCAGUUGGUUGUAUGUUGGGUAUUGGAGGUUAUUUAUUCUAUCAGGGUAGAAAACAAACUCGAUUUUCGAAGUAUACAUUUUAUUCAUUAGCAUCUGGAGCAACCGCCUUAGGAAUAGGUGAAAUGUUCGAUUACUCUCCAUUUCGACAUGCACAAUAAAAAGAACAAUUUUAUUUAAUUUUAAUCAUUUUCCAUAAUUAUUUCAAAUUAUUUUCCAACUUUUCCCAGUUUAGUAUCAGUUUUUGGAUUAGCUGUGAUGUUUUGGACAGAAACAAUAACUUCGUUUCCUUUAGUUUGUAAGUUGCGCAAAUCUUGUAUGUAGAUAAGUCUUAAAACUUUCGCUGCUUGGUUUAAACCAACAUCACCCAAAUCAAAACCAAGAUCGGUAUUGUGAUAUGGAAAUGGGGUACCCUUUAUAAUUAAAAAAAUUUUUAUAAAUAUAUCAAUAAAUUCAA